Exaiptasia diaphana is the source of this 209-nucleotide long non-coding RNA. RefSeq lists it as uncharacterized. NCBI's taxonomy places the organism in Eukaryota, Metazoa, Cnidaria, Anthozoa, Actiniaria, Aiptasiidae. The record is from RefSeq and is a predicted model, not a curated record. The transcript is spliced from 2 exons.
AAAUGACUAUGUUUUUAGAGUAAAAGGCGAAAAGCUCCUCCACAGCCUUACAAUAAACCUAUUGGAUCACCUAGAAAAUUACAGGCUCAGUUUGGUGGUCCCCCAGUACAAUCAUUAUCUGUACCAAGACGAGCUGUUAUAUCUAGAUUACAACCAAAAACAGACACAACACAGAUGACAUCCACACCAUUACCCACAGCUGUUACUGG